RNAcentral lists this unclassified non-coding RNA (691 nucleotides) under uncultured Prochlorococcus sp. Its description in RNAcentral is "partial may contain 16S ribosomal RNA, 16S-23S ribosomal RNA intergenic spacer, and 23S ribosomal RNA". The stretch from base 1 to 100 matches the Rfam family "Bacterial small subunit ribosomal RNA", at positions 1435 to 1533 of the family's 1533-position model. Lineage: Bacteria; Bacillati; Cyanobacteriota; Cyanophyceae; Synechococcales; Prochlorococcaceae. The record is from RNAcentral.
UUAACCCUUGUGGAGGAGGACGCCGAAGGUGGGGCUAAUGACUGGGGUGAAGUCGUAACAAGGUAGCCGUACCGGAAGGUGCGGCUGGAUCACCUCCUAACAGGGAGACAACAAAAUGUUAAAUAUUAAUUUUGUCACCUUAGGUCGAUCGGUAUCUCACAUUCUUAAAUUAUUAAGAAUUUCAUUUUCUAAGUUUUUUCUAGGUCACACCCAUUACUUUUCCUGGGCCAUUAGCUCAGGUGGUUAGAGCGCACCCCUGAUAAGGGUGAGGUCCCUGGUUCAAGUCCAGGAUGGCCCAUAUCUCUGUGUUGGGGGUAUAGCUCAGUUGGUAGAGCGCCUGCUUUGCAAGCAGGAUGUCAGCGGUUCGAGUCCGCUUACCUCCACUGAUCACCACCUCUUCCAUAAGUUAUAGAAGGGAAAUGUUUUUGAGUUGUGAUCAAAUUCUGAACGAAUCUAGCUUCCUAAUCAAAUUUAUUAAGAUGCUGGACUCAUUGAAUUAAAUUCAUUGUUUUCAGAGAACCUUGACAACUGCAUAGAUUUUUUUUAAAGACAAUAAGCAUCUUUAAUGAUGCAGAUUGAUUAUUUGUGCGAAUGCAUUAAUAACAAUUCUAUUAAGCUGAUGCUUCAAUUUUUGAAGUUAUUGGUCAAGCUACAAAGGGCUCACGGAGGAUACCUAGGCACACAGAGGCGA